This 207-nucleotide long non-coding RNA is filed under the name Elaeis guineensis (African oil palm). Its description in RNAcentral is "long non-coding RNA (EGUI_LNC044105)". Lineage: Eukaryota; Viridiplantae; Streptophyta; Magnoliopsida; Arecales; Arecaceae. The record is from RNAcentral.
CAUCCAUAAAAAAAUCUCACACCUCUAGAUGAAUUCUCACACCCAUCUGAAAGGUUUUGACAUAUGAUAAUUAUCAAAAAAAAAUCCAAGAGAUGCUUCAUGCAGAAGGACUCUUUAGAAUAUUUUUCUCGAUGAUUCUCUGAUGCGUCGUGCAGCUUCCCAUGGAGUAAUUUUUCUCUACCAUCCAUCAGUAAAUUUUAGUCAUCC